AUAUAACGCAGGCAACAUUGGAAUGCCUGGGAGGCGCAUACGAGGUAGAACCGGGUCACGGUGCUAGUCGCAACGCCUACUUGCGCGACCACUCAAUCCAAACGUACUUUAUUAUACCACCACCAAGACGGAGAAAAAUGUGUCUGUCGGGAGGGGUAGGACUGGGAUCUGGGUCACGUCGGAAGUUAUCAUUCAAAAAUGUAUCAAAUGUUGUGGUUCAACUUCUGCACUCCAUAAAAUUUAAUGUGGACGUGCCAUUCUCUAACAUGGCGGCAUCACCACAAGAACUAAAGGCAAACGCUGCGAGAAAGGUACCUUUAAAACUAAUAAAUAGAUCCAAAAAUUCGAUUAUCCAGAA
Melitaea cinxia (Glanville fritillary) is the source of this 358-nucleotide long non-coding RNA. RefSeq lists it as uncharacterized. Lineage: Eukaryota; Metazoa; Arthropoda; Insecta; Lepidoptera; Nymphalidae. The transcript has 2 exons. The record is from RefSeq and is a predicted model, not a curated record.